GAACAGGAAAGGGAGGGGGAGGGAGUAGGGAAGCUGCCAGGGCUGGUGAGCCUGGAUGCACCGGCUUGCUGUGAAUGGGGAGCAGGCUGCGAGAAGAGGGUGGUACUGUGAGUGGGGAACAUGUGUGCACAAGAAGUAGAAGGCUUUGGCCCAGAUAUUACGCUCAGAAGACUUCCCCAGACUGGAUUAGGGAUGCUGGUGGCCUCAGCCGGCAGCCCCCAAAGAAGGAAUUGGGUGGAAUGAAUGGACAAUGUGCCUCUUCUGAAGCCUAGCAAGGGAGGUAUGUGGACCCCACCAGGAGAAGUUAAAAUAAGUAAGAGAGGGAAGGCUCUACUUGAGCAGCUUUAGGUACAGUACCAGGCACACAGGAGGAUGUGACUCAAUUUCCACCUCUGAGAGACAGAAGCAGAAAUUGGCUUUUCCUUUCCAGAUUUAUCUAAUAUUCAGAAAGGGAAUCUAGCACCUGCCUUCCAGAUUUGAAUGCCAUCAAAGUUCAGGAGCACUCAAGUUCAAUUUGGGCCGUUCUCUGUUAUUUCAUUUCUCCCAAAUCAAAUACUGAUCCACUGUAAUUUGCUGUAGAAAAAGUAGGAUAAAAUUGAGCAACAAAUCCUGACAUCUUCCCAAUGCUAACUAGGACCAGAAUUGCUAUUUUCAACAACCAUUACCAUUUUUUGUUUGUUUAAAAAGAAGGUGACAGUAAUAUUGCAUUGGCAAGUUCUCCACAGAAACUAAGAGUGGAACAAAAGAACAGCAAAGGCACCUCAACUUUUCCUCAUUAUGUGGGACAGUCUUACAAUAUGGAUCCAGAUAUCCUCUAUUCACACAAACUGAAAAUUGUUCCACUUUACUGCAGUUCUGUAACCAUGCAGGAACUGGUCCUGCGUUCUGUGCACAUUCAAAAUUCCUACUGAAUUCAGAAGUGCCUUGCUUUUGUAGCCAUACCACCUGAUAUUUUCAAACCUUGUAAGAAUGAACUUGCCUGAGGAGGAAUAAUAUGAGGAAGCCAGCACACAGCUUCACUGGAGAAGGAAAGGAUGAGUGGGCUAUACAGGCUGAACUAACUUCAGUACUGAAGAUGUUCCCUGCAGGGCAAACGCUGAAGCAUGUUAGUGGAGAAUGGCACAGUACGUGUGGGAAGUGCUUCCCUCCCAUGAUUUUUUCUUCUUGUUUUCAGAUUCCUAGAACAAUCAGUGACUGGUUCCAGUCAUGCUCCUCUGUAUCAGAUAUGGACUGGAUACAGAGCUUGCUUAUAGACAUGCCAGGUGUCUUCAUCAUAAGAUUCUUUAAUGCUCUGCCAAUUAUGGCUCAGACUAAGCCUGUGAAGACAGAAAACUAGCAUAUGAUCUGGCCAUUUUGACUGACAAAGGGUAACUGGUAACUAUGGUGUCAAUGGACAUGUGUGUCAAGACCAUGGUUUGAGGGCAAACACAAAGAAAAUGAAGUUGCACUAGUAGGGAAGAUGGCAGAGCUGUUGAUUGAAAUUUCAGGAGAGAAGCUGAAUCAGAAGAAUGAAUAUGUACUUGGGAAGGACACUUAGUGCCAUCGGAAAGAUCUGGAGAACUGAAAAGAAGAAUCCAACACGAUCUAUGCAGAUCCACAUAGGCCUUUUCUAGACUAGAGGUAUGUCUACUCUAGUAUUCUUAACCAAUGUAGUUAAUAUCUUUUAUGAAGCCUAAUCUGGACAUUCCAUAAGUGUUUGUUCCAGGCUACUUUUGUAAUCUGGAACAAAUGUUCAUGAAGUGUCCAGUUUACAAGUUGUCCAGACUAGAGUGAGGUACCAUUUUUUCUGCUGGAGUU
This is a non-coding RNA of Chrysemys picta bellii (western painted turtle), 1797 nucleotides long. NCBI's taxonomy places the organism in Eukaryota, Metazoa, Chordata, Testudines, Emydidae. The record is from RefSeq and is a predicted model, not a curated record.